UGCUAAGACUGGAUAGGAAAUUAAGAGGCAUCUUUUAAUUUUUAAAAGACCUUUUUCGAAAGGUAUACUUAAAGAGGGGCUUGCGCCACAUUAGUUAGUUGGUAAGGUAAAGGCUUACCAAGACGAUGAUGUGUAGCUGGACUGAGAGGUCGAACAGCCACAUUGGGACUGAGACACGGCCCAAACUCCUACGGGAGGCAGCAGUAAGGAAUUUUUGGCAAUGGAGGAAACUCUGACCGAGCGACGUCGCGUGAACAAUGAAGUACUUCGGUAUGUAAAGUUCUUUUAUUGAAAAAGAAAAAAUAGUGGAAAAACUAUCUUGACAUUAUUCAAUGAAUAAGCCCCGGCUAAUUAUGUGCCAGCAGCCGCGGUAAUACAUAAGGGGCGAGCGUUAUCCGGAAUUAUUGGGCGUAAAGGGUGCGUAGGCGGUUUGAUAAGUCUAUAGUUUAAAUGCAGUGCUUAACGCUGUAGCGCUAUAGAAACUGUCUGACUAGAGUUAGAUAGAGGCAAGCGGAAUUCCAUGUGUAGCGGUAAAAUGCGUAAAUAUAUGGAGGAACACCAGAGGCGUAGGCGGCUUGCUGGGUCUUAACUGACGCUGAGGCACGAAAGCGUGGGGAGCAAACAGGAUUAGAUACCCUGGUAGUCCACGCCGUAAACGAUGAGUACUAAGUGUCGGGUUUCGGCUCGGUACUGAAGUUAACACAUUAAGUACUCCGCCUGAGUAGUACGUACGCAAGUAUGAAACUUAAAGGAAUUGACGGGACCCCGCACAAGCGGUGGAUCAUGUUGUUUAAUUCGAAGAUACACGAAAAACCUUACCAGGUCUUGACAUAAUUUUGCGACAUUAUAGAAAUAUAAUGAAGGUUAUCAGAAUUACAGGUGGUGCAUGGUUGUCGUCAGCUCGUGUCGUGAGAUGUUAGGUUAAGUCCCUAAAACGAGCGCAACCCUUGUCGUUAGUUGCGACCACGUAAUGGUGAGCACUUUAGCGAGACUGCCAAUGAAAAAUUGGAGGAAGGUGAGGAUUACGUCAAAUCAUCAUGCCCCUUAUGAUCUGGGCUACAAACGUGAUACAAUGGCUGUUACAAAGAGUAGCUACAACGUGAGUUUUUAGCCAAUCUCAAAAUAACUGCCUCAGUUCGGAUUGUGUCUGCAACUCUACAUCAUGAAGUUGGAAUCGCUAGUAAUCGCGAAUCAGCAUGUCGCGGUGAAUACGUUCUCGGGGUUUGUACACACCGCCCG
Molecule: ribosomal RNA, 1239 nt
Filed under: 'Prunus persica' phytoplasma PP1
Lineage: Bacteria; Bacillati; Mycoplasmatota; Mollicutes; Acholeplasmatales; Acholeplasmataceae
Description: bacterial SSU rRNA
Rfam family: Bacterial small subunit ribosomal RNA
Source: RNAcentral